GUGAGUGGCGAACUGGUGAGUAACACGUGGGAAACCUGCCCAGAAGCGGGGGAUAACACCUGGAAACAGAUGCUAAUACCGCAUAACAACUUGGACCGCAUGGUCCGAGCUUGAAAGAUGGCUUCGGCUAUCACUUUUGGAUGGUCCCGCGGCGUAUUAGCUAGAUGGUGGGGUAACGGCUCACCAUGGCAAUGAUACGUAGCCGACCUGAGAGGGUAAUCGGCCACAUUGGGACUGAGACACGGCCCAAACUCCUACGGGAGGCAGCAGUAGGGAAUCUUCCACAAUGGACGAAAGUCUGAUGGAGCAACGCCGCGUGAGUGAAGAAGGGUUUCGGCUCGUAAAACUCUGUUGUUAAAGAAGAACAUAUCUGAGAGUAACUGUUCAGGUAUUGACGG
RNAcentral lists this ribosomal RNA (398 nucleotides) under Lactiplantibacillus plantarum. Its description in RNAcentral is "bacterial SSU rRNA". It matches the Rfam family "Bacterial small subunit ribosomal RNA", at positions 91 to 475 of the family's 1533-position model. Lineage: Bacteria; Bacillati; Bacillota; Bacilli; Lactobacillales; Lactobacillaceae. The record is from RNAcentral.